GGGCUGGCCCGGUGGUCCAUCGCCUUUGGCGGUGGUACCGCUUUCGUGGUCGGUCCUUUCCUCCUGUGCAAGCCGGUAGCGCACUUAACUGGGCGCGGCCGGGGCGCCAGGACUUUUACUUUGAAAAAAUUAGAGUGUUCAAAGCAGGCGCACGCCUGAAUACAUUAGCAUGGAAUAAUAGAAUAGGACUAUGGUCCGAUUUUGUUGGUUUCUCGGACCACAGUA
Molecule: ribosomal RNA, 225 nt
Filed under: uncultured fungus
Lineage: Eukaryota; Fungi
Description: partial small subunit ribosomal RNA
Rfam family: Eukaryotic small subunit ribosomal RNA (bases 107-225)
Source: RNAcentral